RNAcentral lists this non-coding RNA (183 nucleotides) under Candidatus Magnetoglobus. RNAcentral also lists the same sequence under 1 other name. The record is from RNAcentral. Lineage: Bacteria; Pseudomonadati; Thermodesulfobacteriota; Desulfobacteria; Desulfobacterales; Desulfobacteraceae.
UAUUCAAUAAAUUUGUUAAGUAAGUUACGGAACAUGGUGAAAAUCCAUGACGGUCCCGCCGCUGUAACCGGGUAGAAGGCUCAAUUGAACCACUGUUAUUGAACAUAUCAGGUAUCAUAAUGGGAAGGUUUGAGUUUUUGGUUGAUCCGGAAGUCAGAAGACGACUUAACAAUACUGAAUUAA